AAGACAAUAAGUAUAGUAGGAAAAGUUUCAUUUGAAGCCAUGGGUAUUCUAUUUCAACAUUACUACAUAGGGAAACUAAAAAUACAAGGGUUUUGUUCUCC
Molecule: long non-coding RNA, 101 nt
Organism: Patella vulgata (common limpet)
Lineage: Eukaryota; Metazoa; Mollusca; Gastropoda; Patellidae
Exons: 3
Source: RefSeq, a predicted model, not a curated record